CCAGACUCCUACGGGAGGCAGCAGUGGGGAGUAUUGCACAAUGGGGGAAACCCUGAUGCAGCGACGCCGCGUGAGUGAAGAAGUAUUUCGGUAUGUAAAGCUCUAUCAGCAGGGAAGAAAAUGACGGUACCUGACUAAGAAGCCCCGGCUAACUACGUGCCAGCAGCCGCGGUAAUACGUAGGGGGCAAGCGUUAUCCGGAUUUACUGGGUGUAAAGGGAGCGUAGACGGCAUGGCAAGUCAGAUGUGAAAGCCCGGGGCUCAACCCCGGGACUGCAUUUGAAACUGUCAGGCUGGAGUGCAGGAGAGGUAAGUGGAAUUCCUAGUGUAGCGGUGAAAUGCGUAGAUAUUAGGAGGAACACCAGUGGCGAAGGCGGCCUGCUGGACGACAACUGACGGUGAGGCGCGAAAGCGUGGGGAGCAAACAGGAUUAGAUACCCGAGUAUG
RNAcentral lists this ribosomal RNA (446 nucleotides) under uncultured bacterium. RNAcentral describes it as "bacterial SSU rRNA". It matches the Rfam family "Bacterial small subunit ribosomal RNA", at positions 331 to 793 of the family's 1533-position model. The record is from RNAcentral.